CUCAGGACGAACGCUGGCGGCGUGCCUAAUGCAUGCAAGUCGCACGCAGCGUGCUUCGGUACGUUGAGUGGCGCACGGCUGAGGAUCACGUGGGAACAUGCCUCCUUGUGGGGGACAACACCGCGAAAGCGGUGCUAAUCCCGCAUACGCUCUUGUGAGAGAGGAAAGCAGUAAUGCGCAGGGAGAGUGGCCCGCGGCCCAUCAGGUCGUAGGUGGGGUAACGGCCUACCUAGCCAAUGACGGGUAGCUGGUCUGUGAGGACAGACAGCCAGACUGGGACUGAGACACGGCCCAGACUCCUACGGGAGGCAGCAGCAAGGAAUUUUCGUCAAUGGGCGCAAGCCUGAACGAGCAACGCCGCGUGGAGGAUGACGGCCUUCGGGUUGUAAACUCCUUUUUCGGGGGACGAUGAUGACGGUACCCCGGGAAUAAGGCUCGGCUAACUCUGUGCUAGCAGCCGCGGUAAUAC
RNAcentral lists this ribosomal RNA (469 nucleotides) under uncultured bacterium. RNAcentral's name for it is "bacterial SSU rRNA". It matches the Rfam family "Bacterial small subunit ribosomal RNA", at positions 23 to 526 of the family's 1533-position model. The record is from RNAcentral.